UGUAAACACUCGCGUCUCGCACGUCAAGUAUAUACUUACAUCAGUAUGUACUAUAGGUAAUCUCACCUAACUGCUAAGUAGGUACUUAUUUACUGUGCGCAAGAUUUCAUCGGCAGUUUUUGUUUUACGAGACGCCGGUAUAUAAGUACUUACUUAUGUCGUGUGUUUUUUGUAACAAAAGCGAAACUAAUAGUAGAAAUACAUACAUUGUUUAUCGUCCUUCAAAUUGAUAAAUUAAUGGCGGUUUGUCAAGCUAUUUUAGCAUAAAAUUGGGCAGAUAUUUCAUAUGAUUCUGUACAAGUAAAUUUGCAGUUGUGAAUUUUUUAUCUAAUUCUAAACCAGCAAUGAAUGUUGAGCGGCAGAUGACUAUAAACAACUUAAACUCUAGGUAGGCAAGACUGUUUAUGUAUGAUACAAAAUUUCGAUGAGUAAAGCAUGAAUCUCUAUCUACUGAAGCUUUAAAAGAUGCCAAAAAGUAUUAUCGCGAUUUAAAGCACACUGCUAAGCUACAUACUCACCUAUGGAACAAUUAUUCAUCCAGUAUAUCAAAUGCACCAGAGGGUACUGAAGAACUGACCCUUGGAUUCGAAGGCAGGUCUUCCUUCUUCUAUCACAUAGGCAAGUACCAAGAAUGUCUUCAUGAUGUUGAGAGAGCACUGGUUAUCACAAAAUCCAACUUUCUAAAAGUCAAGUUAUUGUAUCGCAAAGCUGAAUGUUUGACAUAUUUGGGUAGUUCUGAAAACAAGAAUGCCCUGGAAAAGGCAAAGUUUUGGCUCAAGAAAAUUGAUGAAAAGAAAGUCAAAGCUGAACUGACCUCUCAAUUCUUCAUAACGGAAGACAUUAUAAAAAAUAUUAUGCAAAGUGGAAAAUCCAUUGUUAAAAAGGCUGAGAAAAAUACUAGAAUUUGGGAUGCGCUGGAAUUGAAAGAAGCUGAAAAUACUUGUAAUUUCAGUCAAGUAUAAUGAAAAGGAUAGAAGGCACCUGGUUGCAACUCGUAAUAUUAAGCCAGGCGAAAUAAUAUGUGUUCAAAAACCUUAUGUUAUGACUUCCAACACUGAGCUUACACCUUAUGCCUACUGCUGUCAUUGCUUGAAGGUCUCCUGGUCCUCUAUACCUUGUAAUGUAUAUGGAUGGGCUUUCUUUUGUUCAGAUAAAUGCAAAGAAGAAGCUUGGGAGCAAUACCAUUAUAUGGAAUGUUCUGUGAUGCCCAUAAUUCGUCAUACUGCAGAAUCCCAGCUUUGGCGACAACUUGCAAUAAGAACUGUAAUUCUUGCUGUAAGAGAGGCUGGUAGCAUUACAUAAACUUAGAGCAGAGCUUGCUGAAGUAGAUAAUUGUACAGAUGAACAAACCAGAGGUUUUUCCAAAAAUGGAAAAUUCAAAAGUUUAUACAGCUUGGCACAUAAAAUGUCGCCAAAUCUUGCAAAAAUACAUAUUCAAGAUGCUAUUCGAAUUUUGCUUUCUUUUGCCAAGAAUAGUACAUUGUUUAGAAAUGGAAAAAAGUUCAAAGUUGUAGCAGAUUUCCAAAAUGACACAGACGUUCUGUUUGUGGGUUCCCUCAUUUUGAGGCUUUUUGGUAUUUUCAGUGUUAACUAUCAAGAAGUAAGUUGAAAAAAUAAAUGUUUUGACAUUUGUUGCUGCUACAGAGGAACUACAGUGUCGCCACUUUUAUAUUUGAUGAAUCACAGUUGUGACCCAAAUGCAGCUAUAAUGUUAACAGAUGCUGGCAAGAUGAUUGUUUACUCUCUCAAGCCUAUAAAAAAAAAAUGCUCAGAUAACGAGACAAAAUUUUAUAAUAUAAACGUGUACAAUUCUUGUUUUAAAUUGCAAAACAAAAAUUUCACCUAAAUUUGUUUCUAUAAAUUUCAUUUUGAUACUCUAUUCUUAUGGUGAAUGGUACAUAUUAUCAAAGAAGUAGAAAAUAUAGACAAACCAUGACAAAGAAAGCUUACAAUUUCACGUGCACUUGCCAAGCUUGUCAAGAUGAUUGGCCAUUGCUAAUCACACUCAACCCAAAAACUGAUUUAGCUAUAUCAAAUAUCAGUAAUUCUGAUUAAUCUUCUAAAUUAACACCAGAAAUUUUUCAACAAAUCCAAGAUUUAAUAACAUUAACAAAACAAAAAAAAACGAUUUGACAAGCAAACUGUGUAUUUUAUUUAAUUUAGGUAACAUUAUAAAAAUUGCUACUGCUAAUUAU
Nasonia vitripennis (jewel wasp) is the source of this 2195-nucleotide RNA transcript. It is a transcript of the gene named SET and MYND domain-containing protein 4-like, with no coding region annotated. The record is from RefSeq and is a predicted model, not a curated record. NCBI's taxonomy places the organism in Eukaryota, Metazoa, Arthropoda, Insecta, Hymenoptera, Pteromalidae. The transcript is spliced from 5 exons.